AGAGUUUGAUCCUGGCUCAGGAUGAACGCUGGCGGUCUGCUUAACACAUGCAAGUCGAACGGGCUCUUUCGGGAGCUAGUGGCGGACGGGUGAGUAACGCGUGAGAAUCUGCCAAAAGGACUGGGACAACCACUGGAAACGGUGGCUAAUACCGGAUGAGCCGCAACGUAAAAGAGGAAACUCGCCUUUUGAGGAGCUCGCGUCUGAUUAGCUAGUUGGUGAGGUAAGAGCUCACCAAGGCAUCGAUCAGUAGCUGGUCUGAGAGGAUGAUCAGCCACACUGGGACUGAGACACGGCCCAGACUCCUACGGGAGGCAGCAGUGGGGAAUUUUCCGCAAUGGGCGAAAGCCUGACGGAGCAAGACCGCGUGAGGGAGGAAGGCUCUUGGGUUGUAAACCUCUUUUGUCAGGGAAGAACACAAUGACGGUACCUGAAGAAUCAGCAUCGGCUAACUCCGUGCCAGCAGCCGCGGUAAUACGGGGGAUGCAAGCGUUAUCCGGAAUUAUUGGGCGUAAAGCGUCCGCAGGUGGCUAAUCAAGUCUGCUGUCAAAGAUUGGGGCUUAACCCCAAAAAGGCAGUGGAAACUGAGAAGCUAGAGUGCAGUAGGGGUAGAGGGAAUUCCCGGUGUAGCGGUGAAAUGCGUAGAGAUCGGGAAGAACAUCGGUGGCGAAAGCGCUCUACUGGACUGCAACUGACACUCAGGGACGAAAGCUAGGGGAGCGAAUGGGAUUAGAUACCCCCGUAGUCC
RNAcentral lists this ribosomal RNA (748 nucleotides) under uncultured cyanobacterium. Its description in RNAcentral is "bacterial SSU rRNA". It matches the Rfam family "Bacterial small subunit ribosomal RNA", at positions 8 to 796 of the family's 1533-position model. Lineage: Bacteria; Bacillati; Cyanobacteriota. The record is from RNAcentral.